RNAcentral lists this ribosomal RNA (613 nucleotides) under uncultured Candidatus Poseidoniales archaeon. RNAcentral describes it as "bacterial SSU rRNA". It matches the Rfam family "Archaeal small subunit ribosomal RNA", at positions 1 to 622 of the family's 1478-position model. The record is from RNAcentral. Lineage: Archaea; Methanobacteriati; Thermoplasmatota; Candidatus Poseidoniia; Candidatus Poseidoniales.
GACCUGGUUGAUCCUGCCAGAGGCGACCGCUAUUGGAGUUCGAUUAAGCCAUGCGAGUCGAGAGUCUUAGGGACUCGGCGCACUGCUCAGUAACACGUGGAUAAUCUGACCUACGCUCGAGGAUAAUCUCGGGAAACUGAGUUCAAUACUCGAUAGAUCACAUGUCCUGGAAUGGCUUGUGGUUGAAAGGUAACGGCGUAGGAUGAGUCUGCGGCGUAUCAGGUCGUAGUGGGUGUAAUGGACCCACUAGCCCUCGACGCGUACGGGUUGUGAGAGCAAUUGCCCGGAGAUGGAUUCUGAGACACGAAUCCAGGCCCUACGGGGCGCAGCAGGCGCGAAAACUUCACACUGCAGGAAACUGUGAUGAGGGAACUCCAAGUGGCAGCACUAAGUGCUGUCUUUUCUGGACUCUUAAACGGUCUAGGAAGAAGGGCUGGGUAUGACCGGUGCCAGCCGCCGCGGUAAUACCGGCAGCUCAAGUGGUCGCCGCUUUUAUUGGGCCUAAAACGUCCGUAGCCGGCUUGGUAAACCCGUGGGUAAAUCAACCAGCUCAACUGGUUGAAUUCCGCGGAGACUGCCUGGCUUGGGACCGGGAGAGGCGUGAGGUACUCUC